GGCAUAUUUUAAUUGAAUAUAAUUGAAAAUGGCGAGAAAAAGAUCAGAACAAAAAUAAAAACAUUAGUUUUACUGCUUUACAAAAGAUCUUUUUUCUAUUUUCAUUUUAACAAUUCAUUUUUGCCAUGGAAGAGGAUAAACAUUGUCCAAAUAAAAAAGCUGUGAUUAUCCAACAUGGAAAAUUAAAUUCCACUUUUCAACAAAUAAGCAAACAAACAUGAAGAUCAAAGUGUGUUAUUAGUCAUUUAUUAAAUGAAAAAAGUUAUAAUAGUUGAAACCCACAGGUAGAGCAAAUAAAACUGGAGAAAGAUGUAUUAAAAAAUCAUUGAUCUUGCUCUGGAAAAAUCAACCACUGCAAUGAAAAUAAAAACUCAGUUAGACAUUGAUUACAGCACAAGAUCUGUUCAAAGAAUUUAGACCAUGGAAGGGUUAAAAUACACCAAAAUGUGAGGAAGACCUCCUUUAACGGCCAAACAGAACAUUUAUAACAUUGAACAGGCUGAAAAAUGUUGAAUUUACAGAGUUAAAUGUAAUCUGGAUAGUCCUGGUGGGUUUAAAUUCUUGAAGAAGUACACUGAUGGAGAUGUCAGAGUCUGAAGCUGGGGCCUCAUGCAUGCACUGUUGGAGGAAACAUAUGACAAUUGAAAGCAUCACUCACAUCCUCUAUAUCAAAGGUGAGUGCCUGUGCAGAAAUGACAUGAUAUUCAAAUCAGGACUUUCUCACACACUUAUUAUGAGAUCAUCAGUUAAACAUCAUCUCUUCUUAUUUCAUAGAUUGCCACUGCAGGAAAGAGUCGAACAUUGUCAGCAGGAUUUGAACCUGCGCAGGGAGACCCCAAUGGAUUUCUAGUUCAUCGCCUUAACCACUCAGCCAUGACAACUCCUGUGCUACUGCUUUCUGUUCUGUGUGAUGAAAGCGCAAAAUUUGGCUUCACAUACAAACAUCUGUCGUGUUCCCACCCUUGCUUUACGCAUUUAUCUAAUCACUUAAAUAUUGGAGCUCCGUCUCUCCCUGUUGCUCCGUGCAGAUCUCCUGAGGUCAGCAGAGUCUCUGCUCACCUGUUGGUGGAGGUUAAAGUUGGUGGGUACUGGAGGACAGGCUUGGUGGUCAGAAAAAUGCACACAACUUUUCAUCCCCUAUCAUCUCCAUUAAGUCCAGGGACACCAGGAUCCAGAGCCCAGAGUGAUGACCAUUACACCAUGGAACUUCCUCCACUGUCCUCCACCUCAUCUUCUCAUCUGACAGAGAUCAUCAAACACAGUACUAAGUUAUAACACAACAACA
This is a long non-coding RNA of Acanthochromis polyacanthus (spiny chromis), 1285 nucleotides long. RefSeq lists it as uncharacterized. The record is from RefSeq and is a predicted model, not a curated record. The transcript has 2 exons. NCBI's taxonomy places the organism in Eukaryota, Metazoa, Chordata, Actinopteri, Pomacentridae.